GGGGAUUUAGCUCAGUGGUAGAGCGCUUGCCUAGCAAGCACAAGGCUCUGGGUUCGGUCCCCAGCUCCA
This 69-nucleotide transfer RNA is filed under the name Rattus norvegicus (Norway rat). It matches the Rfam family "tRNA". From Rfam's summary of the family: Transfer RNA (tRNA) molecules are approximately 80 nucleotides in length. Their secondary structure includes four short double-helical elements and three loops (D, anti-codon, and T loops). Further hydrogen bonds mediate the characteristic L-shaped molecular structure. tRNAs have two regions of fundamental functional importance: the anti-codon, which is responsible for specific mRNA codon recognition, and the 3' end, to which the tRNAs corresponding amino acid is attached (by aminoacyl-tRNA synthetases). tRNAs cope with the degeneracy of the genetic code in two manners: having more than one tRNA (with a specific anti-codon) for a particular amino acid; and 'wobble' base-pairing, i.e. permitting non-standard base-pairing at the 3rd anti-codon position. The record is from Rfam by way of RNAcentral. Lineage: Eukaryota; Metazoa; Chordata; Mammalia; Rodentia; Muridae.